This 264-nucleotide ribosomal RNA is filed under the name uncultured bacterium. Its description in RNAcentral is "partial 16S ribosomal RNA". It matches the Rfam family "Bacterial small subunit ribosomal RNA", at positions 793 to 1055 of the family's 1533-position model. The record is from RNAcentral.
GUCCACGCCCUAAACGAUGCGAACUGGAUGUUGGGGGCAACUUGGCCCUCAGUAUCGAAGCUAACGCGUUAAGUUCGCCGCCUGGGAAGUACGGUCGCAAGACUGAAACUCAAAGGAAUUGACGGGGGCCCGCACAAGCGGUGGAGUAUGUGGUUUAAUUCGAUGCAACGCGAAGAACCUUACCUGGCCUUGACAUGCACGGAACUUUCCAGAGAUGGAUUGGUGCCUUCGGGAACCGUGACACAGGUGCUGCAUGGCUGUCGU